RNAcentral lists this ribosomal RNA (833 nucleotides) under Nonomuraea sp. IM-1930. Its description in RNAcentral is "bacterial SSU rRNA". It matches the Rfam family "Bacterial small subunit ribosomal RNA", at positions 38 to 889 of the family's 1533-position model. Lineage: Bacteria; Bacillati; Actinomycetota; Actinomycetes; Streptosporangiales; Streptosporangiaceae. The record is from RNAcentral.
GGCGGCGUGCUUAACACAUGCAAGUCGAGCGGAAAGGCCCUUCGGGGGUACUCGAGCGGCGAACGGGUGAGUAACACGUGAGUAACCUGCCCCUGACUCUGGGAUAAGCCCGGGAAACUGGGUCUAAUACCGGAUACGACCACUUCAGGCAUCUGAUGGUGGUGGAAAGAUUUCUUGGUUGGGGAUGGACUCGCGGCCUAUCAGCUUGUUGGUGGGGUAGUGGCCUACCAAGGCGACGACGGGUAGCCGGCCUGAGAGGGCGACCGGCCACACUGGGACUGAGACACGGCCCAGACUCCUACGGGAGGCAGCAGUGGGGAAUAUUGCGCAAUGGGCGGAAGCCUAAGCCAGCGACGCCGCGUGGGGGAUGACGGCCUUCGGGUUGUAAACCUCUUUCAGCAGGGACGAAGUUGACGUGUACCUGCAGAAGAAGCGCCGGCUAACUACGUGCCAGCAGCCGCGGUAAUACGUAGGGCGCAAGCGUUGUCCGGAAUUAUUGGGCGUAAAGAGCUCGUAGGUGGCUGGUCGCGUCUGCCGUGAAAGCCCGCAGCUUAACUGCGGGUCUGCGGUGGAUACGGGCCGGCUAGAGGUAGGUAGGGGCAAGUGGAAUUCCUGGUGUAGCGGUGAAAUGCGCAGAUAUCAGGAGGAACACCGGUGGCGAAGGCGGCUUGCUGGGCCUUACCUGACGCUGAGGAGCGAAAGCGUGGGGAGCGAACAGGAUUAGAUACCCUGGUAGUCCACGCUGUAAACGUUGGGCGCUAGGUGUGGGGAUCUUCCACGAUCUCCGUGCCGGAGCUAACGCAUUAAGCGCCCCGCCUGGGGAGUACGGCCGC